Mauremys mutica (yellowpond turtle) is the source of this 509-nucleotide long non-coding RNA. RefSeq lists it as uncharacterized. The record is from RefSeq and is a predicted model, not a curated record. The transcript has 4 exons. NCBI's taxonomy places the organism in Eukaryota, Metazoa, Chordata, Testudines, Geoemydidae.
GCUGAGUGACAAAAUCUGGCGUCAACCCGAGUUCUUGUGAAGUCAAGUGGACGAGGUCUCGGAGGGGCUCCCAACACAUGCCAGAGUGCGUAGACCGAACAGCUGUGGUGGAACAUUCCUAGCAAUUGUAAGUUGCAUUGACAUUAACAAGAGCUCUGCAAGCAGAGGCGUCAGCUGCACCAUCCUCACCCUGUGGAGCACUUAUGAGACACACCAUAGAUAUGAGGGAAGUACAGCUAAGAGCAAGCAAGGAAAAAGGAAGAACACAGAAUCUGGGUAUCAGCUAAAGUAGCAAGAGACACGACAUGAACAAGAAGAGAAUGGGGUUUUCAGCUAAAUAAUCAAUUUUGUGAAAAAAAGAACAGAGACUCCCAUGAUGCACCACAGCAGCUCAGCAAGAGGAGAGACCAAGGUGCAUAAUGGGAGAUGUAGUCUGGCCAGGGAAUCCAGGCCAGAAAGGAGAAUGGGAAGAUGAGGCACCUUAAAUAUAACUUCUGUGAGGCACCACA